CCAGCGGCGCUAAAAUGCUAUUUGAUCUCUCCAAAAUGCUAAUGAGUAACGAAGAGAUCUGUUUACGCAGCGCAGCUGAAUGUCAAAAAGUGAAAGGUCUUCUUGAUCUUUUAAAAGUUAAACUUGACACAGUCUUUUAAAAACAUGUAGAUCUCGAGACGCUGUCUAGCCUAGCGCAUGUUUACAUAAAACUGUAAUGAGGACCUUGGAAACCAAAAACGCAUUCUGUGUGAACAAGCCCAUACCGUGGUGAGCAAGACCUGUUGGAUGUUUUGCUGCAAAAGCUCACUCGACAAUGGAUGCACAUUUCCUUGCCUCCGAUCCAGCCUAGAUGAAUGGGUCUGCAUCCAAACCCCUACGAUAAUAUCAAGGGCUUUUAAAGACAGUAUUCAUGUAGGCUUCAUCACGUGUAAAAGCACAGAAGAUGAACCACCAGACCAUGUACAGGAGAUGACGGCCUAGUCUGAGCAAAAAAAGCCUUCACUGUAAGCUCAGCACCAUCAUCCAUCACUGACUCACGUCACAUGCCUACGCAAGGAGGGAAGUGUGAAGGUUAAAGGCUCUAUGAAACCACAAAGUUAAGAUAGAAGUUAAGAUCCACUAUGAAUUUCUUUUCAGAUUUGUGGAUAAGAAGUCCUGGUUUAUUUUUGGUGUCCUUGGUAUUUCACAUAUGGCAGCAUGUUGACGUUACGUUAGCCUUCCAGCUUUCUGUAGAAUGUGUCGCUAUACAAUUGUUACAUAAUAGUAUGGCUUUUUUGUGUACCAUAAGAACUUACAGGCUCUUCUGGCCCCCAGAAAAAGAGCCGUUUAUAUUACUCAGUCAUUCAAACUGAGAUGAAAUACACCAAAAAGGUUGCAUGGGGGGGUUGAAACAAUCUGUAUCUUUAGAAAAUAGAAGUCUAACCAAGUUUAAACAUGGACAUAUAUCACAGAACACUUCUGUAAUUUGUCUUUAGUUUUCUGACAGUCAUUAAAAUUCCC
This is a long non-coding RNA of Sinocyclocheilus anshuiensis, 981 nucleotides long. RefSeq lists it as uncharacterized. The record is from RefSeq and is a predicted model, not a curated record. NCBI's taxonomy places the organism in Eukaryota, Metazoa, Chordata, Actinopteri, Cypriniformes, Cyprinidae. The transcript has 3 exons.